GUGGCGAACGGGUGAGUAACACGUGGGUGAUCUGCCCUGCACUAUGGGAUAAGCCUGGGAAACUGGGUCUAAUACCGAAUAUGACCAUGCGCCUCCUGGUGUGUGGUGGAAAGCUUUUGCGGUGUGGGAUGGGCCCGCGGCCUAUCAGCUUGUUGGUGGGGUAAUGGCCUACCAAGGCGACGACGGGUAGCCGGCCUGAGAGGGUGACCGGCCACACUGGGACUGAGAUACGGCCCAGACUCCUACGGGAGGCAGCAGUGGGGAAUAUUGCACAAUGGGCGCAAGCCUGACGGAGCGACGCCGCGUGAGGGAUGACGGCCUUCGGGUUGUAAACCUCUUUCAGCACAGACGAAGCGCAAGUGACGGUAUGUGCAGAAGAAGGACCGGCCAACUACGUGCCAGCAGCCGCGGUAAUACGUAGGGUCCGAGCGUUGUCCGGAAUUACUGGGCGUAAAGAGCUCGUAGGUGGUUUGUCGCGUUGUUCGUGAAAACUCACAGCUUAACUGUGGGCGUGCGGGCGAUACGGGCAGACUUGAGUACUGCAGGGGAGACUGGAAUUCCUGGUGUAGCGGUGGAAUGCGCAGAUAUCAGGAGGAACACCGGUGGCGAAGGCGGGUCUCUGGGCAGUAACUGACGCUGAGGAGCGAAAGCGUGGGGAGCGAACAGGAUUAGAUACCCUGGUAGUCCACGCCGUAAACGGUGGGUACUAGGUGUGGGUUUCCUUCCUUGGGAUCCGUGCCGUAGCUAACGCAUUAAGUACCCCGCCUGGGGAGUACGGCCGCAAGGCUAAAACUCAAGAAAUUUGACGGGGGCCCGCCACAAGCGGCGGAGCAUGUGGAUUAAUUUCGAUGCAACGCGAGAACCUUACCCUGGGUUUGACA
Molecule: ribosomal RNA, 881 nt
Filed under: Mycolicibacterium frederiksbergense
Lineage: Bacteria; Bacillati; Actinomycetota; Actinomycetes; Mycobacteriales; Mycobacteriaceae
Description: bacterial SSU rRNA
Rfam family: Bacterial small subunit ribosomal RNA
Source: RNAcentral